This 460-nucleotide ribosomal RNA is filed under the name uncultured bacterium. Its description in RNAcentral is "partial 16S ribosomal RNA". It matches the Rfam family "Bacterial small subunit ribosomal RNA", at positions 338 to 795 of the family's 1533-position model. The record is from RNAcentral.
CCUACGGGUGGCUGCAGUGAGGAAUAUUGGUCAAUGGACGAGAGUCUGAACCAGCCAAGUAGCGUGAAGGAUGACUGCCCUCUGGGUUGUAAACUUCUUUUAUAUGGGAAUAAAAUGUUCCACGUGUGGGAUUUUGUAUGUACCAUAUGAAUAAGGAUCGGCUAACUCUGGGCCAGCAGCCGCGGUAAUACGGAGGAUCCGAGCGUUAUCCGGAUUUAUUGGGUUUAACGGGAGCGUAGGUGGAUUGUUAAGUCAGUUGUGAAAGUUUGCGGCUCAACCGUAAAAUUGCAGUUGAAACUGGCAGUCUUGAGUACAGUAGAGGUGGGCGGAAUUCGUGGUGUAGCGGUGAAAUGCUUAGAUAUCACGAAGAACUCCGAUUGCGAAGGCAGUUCACUGGACUGCAACUGACACUGAGGCUCGAAAGUGUGGGUAUCAAACAGGAUUAGAUACCCGUGUAGUC